RNAcentral lists this long non-coding RNA (336 nucleotides) under Elaeis guineensis (African oil palm). RNAcentral's name for it is "long non-coding RNA (EGUI_LNC008320)". The record is from RNAcentral. Lineage: Eukaryota; Viridiplantae; Streptophyta; Magnoliopsida; Arecales; Arecaceae.
GGAUAAUAGGCGCGGAAGAAUCUAUUAGAAGUUAGUCGAUCUAUUCGUUCAGUGCUCCGUGAAAGGUAAGUAAUGGAUCAUCUUCUCGAGAUAUUCCAUAUUUAUUCUGAAAAUAAAUAAUUAUUCUCUGAAAUUAUGCAUGAUUUAUGAAAUUAUGUUUUGAAAGAAAAGUACUUUCGAAAUGUUAUGGUAUAUCGAUUUAUGCACAUAUUUAGUGAAAGAUUAUAAUAUAUAUUGUGGUACAAAGUGUUUUGAUACAGAUCAGAUUUAUGCUCUCAGCCUAACUAUGUUUCAGUGGGCCCCGCCAAUGGGGAUUAUACAUUGGUACUCAGUGGA